AUGAACGCUGGCUACAGGCUUAACACAUGCAAGUCGAGGGGAAGCGACGGGGAAGCUUGCUUCCCCGGGCGUCGACCGGCGCACGGGUGAGUAACGCGUAUCCAACCUGCCUCUGACUGAGGGAUAACCCGUCGAAAGUCGGCCUAAUACCUCAUGGUAUCGUCUGCGGGCAUCCAACGACGAUUAAAGAUUUCAUCGGUCAGGGAUGGGGAUGCGUCUGAUUAGCUUGUUGGCGGGGUAACGGCCCACCAAGGCUACGAUCAGUAGGGGUUCUGAGAGGAAGGUCCCCCACAUUGGAACUGAGACACGGUCCAAACUCCUACGGGAGGCAGCAGUGAGGAAUAUUGGUCAAUGGGCGAGAGCCUGAACCAGCCAAGUAGCGUGCAGGAAGACGGCCCUAUGGGUUGUAAACUGCUUUUAUGCGGGGAUAAAGUGAGGGACGUGUCCCUCAUUGCAGGUACCGCAUGAAUAAGGACCGGCUAAUUCCGUG
RNAcentral lists this ribosomal RNA (490 nucleotides) under uncultured bacterium. RNAcentral's name for it is "partial 16S ribosomal RNA". It matches the Rfam family "Bacterial small subunit ribosomal RNA", at positions 29 to 507 of the family's 1533-position model. The record is from RNAcentral.